Panthera pardus (leopard) is the source of this 99-nucleotide unclassified non-coding RNA. Lineage: Eukaryota; Metazoa; Chordata; Mammalia; Carnivora; Felidae. The record is from Ensembl.
UCUGCCCACUUGUUCUGUGGCUUUCAGAAUAAGAUCCUUUGUGAGCAUUCAGUUCAUUAAAUACAAAACCGCCUUCAUCUUGGGUGCUGGUGCUUCUGG